GACGAACGCUGGCGGCGUGCUUAACACAUGCAAGUGGAGCGACGAACCAGGGCUUGCCCUGGGGCAGAGCCGCGAACGGGUGAGUAACACGUGGGUAACGUGCCCCGAUGACUGGGACAACCCGGGGAAACCCGGGCUAAUACCGGAUGUGCCCCCUCACAUCAGUGAGGUGUGUAAAGGAAGCUUCGGCCUCCGCAUCGGGAUCGGCCCGCGGCCCAUUAGCUUGUUGGUGAGGUAUCGGCUCACCAAGGCUGCGAUGGGUAGCUGGUCUGAGAGGACGAUCAGCCACACUGGGACUGAGACACGGCCCAGACUCCUACGGGAGGCAGCAGUGGGGAAUCUUGCGCAAUGCGCGAAAGCGUGACGCAGCAACGCCGCGUGGGGGAAGACGGCCUUCGGGUUGUAAACCCCUUUCAGUUGGGACGAAGGUCGGGCGGUUAACAGCCGUUCCGGCUGACGGUACCUUCACAAGAAGCCCCGGCUAACUACGUG
This 492-nucleotide ribosomal RNA is filed under the name uncultured bacterium. RNAcentral describes it as "partial 16S ribosomal RNA". It matches the Rfam family "Bacterial small subunit ribosomal RNA", at positions 28 to 507 of the family's 1533-position model. The record is from RNAcentral.